Molecule: long non-coding RNA, 8696 nt
Organism: Neofelis nebulosa (Clouded leopard)
Lineage: Eukaryota; Metazoa; Chordata; Mammalia; Carnivora; Felidae
Exons: 6
Source: RefSeq, a predicted model, not a curated record
CGGCACCACGGACUCACGCAGGCGCGUUCCAUCGCUCGUUCAGUAAACCUGUUGAACCUAGCGCUGUUAGACCCUGAGACCUCAGAAGAAAAGACGUAGUUUCUGUUCUCGAGGGUAAGGUCCGAGCCUGAACCGUGUACGAAACCACCCUCUCCUCCCUUGGCAUGCCUGCUUUGCUGCAGUCCACGGUGAAGGAGUUCUUCUGGCCCACAAAGGCCUGGGACAGCCCAGGGCCCCGUGUCACCACCUUGCUGGCAUCCGAGGAGAACUUGGGGAUGGAGCUGUAGCUGGAGCCACGGCUUGAGGAGGAUUUGGUCACGGUCUCCACCAGAACUGUGGAUGUUUCAUGAAGGCUGUGGCCUCCAGACAGCCGGGGACCUGAGGGACAGCGUGGGGUAAACACAAGCUGGGUCAGAGGCCUGCCUUCCUGAGGCAGCAGGCCCUCAGCCAGCACCAACAGCCCCGUGGGCCACAUCCCUUCCCCGCUGUGGCACCCAGAAUUCCUAGUGAGCCCGGCUGUGCGCACAGCUAAGGCUCAUCCUGAGACCCUGGGCCUCUGAUGGCUCCAGCCCUGGCACGGUCUGGGAACUCAAGUCCCAGGGUUAAGAGUCUUGCUUUAAAAAGGAACAUAUAUCCAACUGAUCCUUCACACUGCUUCCAAAAGGAAAGCUUGCUAAAUGUUUACUGAGCUUUGUGUUUUAGGAAACCAGAAACAUAUGAAGAAAGUUAAGCUAAAGCUUGGGAGCCACUGCAGGGAAAAAUUAAUCAAGUGACAGACAACAGUAAAGAAGAAGGACUUGAUUUUCAAAAAUGAUUCUCCGUGGUUCCACAGAAUGGUGUGCCGUGCAAGGUCAGGCCCACUUUAUUCCUGGUAAGUUGUCCGUGGAUUUUAGGUCAGACUAUGACUGAAUAUGAAUGGCUGCUGGAGUCAUCCAAGCUGGGUUGGGCUGCAGGCUGGGCUGGAGGGAUGUCCCCCACCCCGGGCACUCACCUGUGACUUUGGCCUUGAAGGGGCUGCCCACGAUGUGCUGGGGGCCACCGUACUUGAUGGCAAUGAGGUAGUUGCCAGGAGCCAUGGGAGUGUAAGUGACAACAUGGCCCUCAGGACACUCCCGACAGUCCAGCUGCACCUUGGAGGGGCCAUCGAUGGUGACAGACAGGGCCCCUGAGCCCGCAUUCAGGGUGUUGACAAUGAACUCUGAUGACACGCCUAGGGACCAGAGGUAGCAAGGCGGUAGGUUGGGCCCUAGGCUCCGAGAACAGAUCUCUGCAAGGACUCAGCCCUCUGGGACAGGGCAGUACAGGACCAGAAGCUGAGUGCCCCAAUAUCGGACCCUCCUCCCUAGCCCCAGGCACUCACCAGUAGUGCCUCCCUCAAGUCCAGGACCAUAAGCUGACACCAAGCCUGGGUCCCCAGCCUGGCUCUGUUCCCCAACGCGGAUCUUGAAGGGACUGCCAGGGAUGUGGGCACCGUUGAACUUGACAUCAAUAGAGUGGACGCCGUUCUCGUGGGGGAUGAAGCGGAUGGUGUGCUUGUCUGUGGGGCGGAGGGUUGGUCAGUGCCCAGAGGCCCAGAGGAGGAAGGGUGUGGCCUAGACUGCCCUGGGGAGGCUCCCUGGAGGAGGUGAGUCACUGGGGAGGACUUGAAGAAGCACAAGGAGGCCAAUUGGGGGUGGGAGUGUGAGAAGAUGAUCCUGGGGUGAGGCAUGGCGCCCCCUGCUAUACGGAUACUGGGAAAGAGGGAGAGACAUCUGCCUGACUGUCUCUUCCAAGGUCACUGCUAAGCCCUGGACACAUGGACCUGCCUUCACCUCCUGCCUAUCUCUCAGGAUGGCAGAGGGGCCCCACCCCAUGGCACAUACCUGGAGGCUGGUGACAGUGAGGCGGCGAGCAUCAUCUGAGAGGGAGGCCACAGGUACCACAAAAGGGCUGUCUGGUAUGUGUUCAUCAUUGAACUUGAUGGAGACCUCAUAGUCACCUGGGGAGAGAAGGCUGGUCAGGACAGGCUCCUUGGGCCAGGGCUCAGGUCUGGAGACAGACUCACACUCCCAGGGGUGUGGGGUGGAGGGAGAUGGGGCAGAGAAAGAGCAGGGACCCAGGUGAAGCGGGAGUUCUGUAGCCCAUCUCUCUGCUCUGGUCAGCAAGCAGAAACCCAGUCUGGAAGGUCAGGCAGGCCCAGCUCCCACCUCCAUCAUGGACACCCACCUGGUUCCUGGACAACAUAGGAGACCCCACAGGAGCCAUCUUUUCGGUCCUCAAAUGAAAUCUCUGCCUUGCUGGGACCCUCCACAGCAAUAGACAGGCCUCCAGCACCAGCUUCUCGGGUCCAAAUGCUGAAUUCAGCUGGGGACAGGGAAGCAGGGCAGAGGCAGUUCUUUAGCACGAUUGCCCAUCCUGCCAGCUGCCCUGCCCCCACCCCCUCUCCUGGACACCUGCCCCUCACCUGGCACACCGGCCACACCUCGCUCCAGUCCUGUGCCUCCAGCCCGCACUUUGUGGGCACCACCUUCACCCAGCGGCCCCACAGUGAACUGAAAGGGACUGCCAGGUACGUGCUGGCCGCGGUACUUGACGGUGACUGUAUGGGGCCCCAUUUCCUGGGGCACAAAACGCACACUGUACGCGCUGUCUUCUCCCUCGACAAUCUCUGCGGCUUCCAUCUUGCCCGAUGGGCUGGUCACCUGUGCAGUCAUGUCCUGGGAACUGGCCUCCCCUGCAGGAGGUGGGAUGGUUAGGCUGACACUGGGCCUGCCCCCAGCCUUGGACCUUCCUUCCCUCCCUCAGUAAGACCCCUCCCCUUCCCAGAACACCCUGGCCAGUUGCCUGUGCCCUCCCCAUCCUGUCCCAGGGGACAGAAGGCCCAGCCUCCCUGUGAGGACCCUGGCCCAGCACGGCCCUGCUUACCCUCCUGCUGCCGGGUGAUGCUGCCAAAGGAGCCCAGGCGCUCCCGGCCCAAGAAGUCCCCGAAGACCGCGGGGAAGGGGUCUCCACCAACCUGGGUGGACUCCUCUACCCGCACCUCACGCUUGGUCUCUCCGCCGCGCGUCUUGCUGAUCUCCGUGCGCUCUGUGCGGGUGUAUGUGUGGCUGCUGCGUGUGAAGGUGCGCGUCAGGCGCUCCUGGGCAGACACCAUCUGGAACCAGUUCCCUGUGGGGCACGGAGCAGUGGAGGUGAGUGUGCCGGAAGGACGGGGCCCCGUGGGGUAGGCUCUGGGCCCGCUGCCCUCCCCAGGGCCCUGCCAGGCUUUUCCUGGCUCCUACCUGGGAUCUUGAGAUUGAGGUCACAGGUGCUGCCAAUGGUGGCAAUGGAAGGUGCCUGUCUCCGCCGCGUGAUGCUUUCCUUCAUGCGACCCUCACCGGUAACCUUCACAGUGAACGGGCUUCCUGGAGGGGGAGAGGCGGGGGGAGCGGAUGGCUCAGACACCGGCCUCCUGGCCUCUCCCUGCCCAGCUGUGGCCCAAAGCUUACCAGGCACGUGCUUGUCAGCAAAUUUGAUGUUUAUGAUGUAGGUGCCAGGCUCAGUGGGGCAGUAGGUGACUUUGCAUGUGCCAUCUUCCAUGUCUUCACAGUUGAUGUCCACCUUGCUAGGGCCUUCAAUACUCAACCCCAGGCCCCCGUAACCUGGCAGGAAGCAAAAGACACAUGUCCCUCAGGCCCUGCCACCCUGCUCUUCCCACCCCCCCACUACAGGCUCUGUCUGGACCAGGCACCCAGCAUGUAUAACCACCAAUGAAAGCUGGCUCUGUGGGAGGAGGGGUAAGCCAGACACUGAACCAGACAGUCUGGGAUGGGCAGUAUGGAAAAUUCCCCCAGGUGGGCCUCUUGGGUUCCAGUGAGUGAGGGACAGUCAGAAACUUAAGAGAGCUGAACUUUCUCUUAACAUUUAAGAGGAAUGACCCGGAACAUGUACUUUCCCUCAACUGGACCCCAGAACGGGAAGUCCAGGGAGGAGGCGAUGACUAAGGGCUGCUGGGCAGGAAAGUUCAAGUCCUUGUUGGAAGCACCAGCCAAAACAAGGGGUUUCUGGGGCGAGAAGCACCUGCGUUGCGAGUGUCCACGAUGAACUCCGCCACCUGGAAGGUGUGUCCCUCGGACAGGCCCUUGCCCCAGACCCGCACCUUGCUGGCAUCUCCGAUCUCAGAUGGCCCCACCAGGAUCUUGAAGGGGCUGUUGGUGACAUGCUUGCCACUUUUGCGCACGCUUACCACGUGCUCCCCAACCUCCUUCGGGGUGAAGGAGAUGCCUGUGGAAAGGGGGGUAGUCAGGCAUGGUGCCCAAGGCCUGGCAGAGCACCCCUUCCCAGCUCCUUUCAGGUCUUCCUCUUCCUGAGGCCCCUCCCCACGGCCCCACACUCACCAAUGUGCCUGUUGGGCAGGCGCUUCAAUAGGCAGGGCUCCUCGUUGCCUGAGGGGGCGCGGAUGCUGGCAGUCAGCAGGCUCAGGUCACUCUCCGUGAUCUUCAGUGACACAUCCGUGGAGGUGCCCACAUUGAGCUGUGAUGUCCUCAUCGAGUCAUCGCCUAGUGGGGGAGUUUGACAUGUCAGGCGGUUAGGACUCCAGGGAAUGGAAUGUUCCUGAUAUUUGUACAAAAAUGCCCUCUUCCACCCAAAGGGGCCCCUACGCUAGCAACCUUUGAUUAUUUGAACACACUGGUCUUGCACAUCCAUCGUGUGCUGGGGGCGUGUACUGGAGGCCUGUGUGCCUACUUUCGCCUCACCUGUGAUCUUGGCCGUGAAAGGGCUUCCUGGGAUGUGCUUGUCAUCAAAGCGCACGAUGAUGCUGUAGUCUCCAGGCGCUGUGGGUAAGUAGGAUACGGUGCAGGUGCCAUCCUUGUUGUCCUUGCAGGUGAUCUCUGCCUUGGAUGGGCCCUCCACAGCCAGGGACAGGCCCCCUGUAGGGGGAGGUGGGGCUGAGAUCAGAGGUCCUGCCCUCAUCCCUGCAUCUGGCCUCCUGCUCCAGCCCUCUGCCUACAGCUCCCCUCACCUUCCCCAGCAUCCUUGGUGACAAUGGUGAAGGUGGCCGGCUUGUUGACCAUACCAUGGCUCAGGCCUGGCCCAUAAGCACUCACAUGGCGGCUAUUGAUGGCAUCCACGUAAAACUGCAGGGGGCUUCCUGAAGGAAACAGAGAAAGGGACUGGGUCACUAGUGAGGACGGGGGCUGCUUGAGCCCAGCACGGUCCCAAGUGCCUUCCUGUGGCUUCCCUGUCUGCUGUGGGGGUCUGUCUGAUGGAAGCCUGCCUCCCACCGAGACACCAGCCUCCCCAGGGCCUGGGGGUGUGUGCUGUGUCUGCACACAGCAGGUGCACAGUGAAUAUUUGUCGAAAGAAGGCAGGCAAGAAUGAAGUCACUGUGGGUUCCUCUCAGCCUGGCCCCAACUUACCAGGGAUGUGGUUGCCGUCAUACUUGAUCCCCAUCUGGUGCAGGCCUUUCUCGGUGGGUGCAUACCUCACCGUGAUGGUUCCAUCCUUAUUGUCGGUGAUGUUGGGCCGGGCUGUUUUCCCAGAGGGCAUCCGUACCUCCCCUGCCAGGGAACACAAUUAUGUAGGGGACCCUGUUUAUCCUACCACAGCCCACCCUUUCCCUGCUGUCCCAGGCACCAUGAGGUAGCCUGGAGCUGUGAGAUGAAGCCCGAACUGGGACACAGAAGGCUCAAGUCUGAAUUGCAGCCCUGCCCAACUUGCUGUGUGACCCUGGGUAGCUCACUUCCCCCCUCUGGCCUGGAAGAAGUCCCCACUCUGAGCUCUCCUGCCUUGGGGCCCCUGGACAGUACCUGUGAGUUCCCCUUUCUGCACGGUGAAGGGGAUGACCAGGUUGAAGGGCCUAAGCAUGGACUCCAUUGGCUCUACAGGCACCACUGGCUCCUCUGUGGCCUGGGGCAGGGGAGAGGAACAGUCAUUGGCUGGGGAAGGCCUGGGGAGCUUGGUCUGAGUCACAAUUGAAGUCAGAGAUAGGAAAGAACAAGAUGGUUAAUGGUGAAACCGGAGCGGCAGGAGAGGUGUGUCAGCUGCAAGAGAAGAGGUGCCGUGCUCAGCUCAGGGAUGUGUCUGCCCAGCCUGAUUCCCGCCUGCUCCCCAAGAUGGCCCCCAGACCAUGCCCCAACCCUGGCCACUGAGGAUCAGAAGGAAGAAAUGAAGGAGCAGGAGGAGGGUGACGUGUGGGAGGCGGCAGUACCCAGUGUGUGGGGUAGGGGCCGGGCCGGUGCGGCUGCAGCACAUCAGGAGGCUCCUCCACGUGGGGCAUGGGGUCACACGCCUGGGAGACAAGGCACGGGAGAGCAUGGCUUGUUACCCGGGAAGCCAGUUCACGCCAGCUCGAGUGAGUGAGAGCGGACUCAGAGAAUGGCCCAGAGAUCUGAAAUCUCAGGCUGCCCAUGAGGCAGUAUGGAUAAUUUGAGUGCUCUACCCUCUAGAGGGCUUCAUCGUCCUGCAGGGCCACCUUGGGGGUAUGUAUAGGGACAGUGGGCCUGAGGAUCAGAGAAGAACAUGGCAAGUUCCUCCAGAGAGAGCCGACCAACAACUGGAAGGGCCAGAAAACGGGCUGUGCUCAACUCCCAAGUUGGGAGGCUGUGGGAAAUCAAUGGUUUGACUCUGGAACACUCUGGGCCCAGAAUCUAUCAGGUGUGCGGACAGGUUCGUGAUUCUUUGCUGCUGCUAAGAGGGCCCAUCUCCCCAGCCAGUGUCCAGGGCCUUGGAACUUACCAGCACGUGGAAGGGGCUGUUGGGGAUGUGCUCGCCUCCGAAGCGGAUGGUGAUGACAUACUUGCCCGGCUCGGGCGCUGUAUAGUAGAUGUCAAAGGUACCAUCGUGGUUCUCAACCACAUCCACGUCGAGCUCCGCCCCAUCCGGAGUGGAUACCGUGCACGUCACCUUCCCCUUGCCUGCCGCCUUGGCGUCCACCGUGAUCACUGUCUCCUCCCCGAUCUGGAUGCGGGGUCCCAAGCAGGCACCUGCCACCCAGAAGAGCCAAGCCAGGUUGAAGGUCUGUGGGGGCUGUGCUCAGUCCCUCUCCAUUCCCAGCUGCCCCUGCCACCUCAGCCCACAGUGAGAAGAGAAGAAAAAGGGCACUCACCCAGGCCAUGGCCUCCAAUGGACACUGGAAACAGAGAAGAGUGUGAGGCCACGUAGCUGGGUCCACCACAUCCUUCACCGGCACCCGGAACGGGCUCCCUGCAAGGAGAAGGACAUCAGCCCCUACCCACCUGCCCAGAAAGGUCUCUGACGCCGAGGAGGCAGGGGAGAGGUUCUCCCUGCCUUCCCUGCCUCUGAAAUAUCAGAGAGGCCAGACCAACAUGUAUAAAUGCUUAGGAACUUGCUCAUAAACGGGGACAAAUAAACUUGGCUGCAGACUAAGGUGGGGCAAACCUUAUGUGCUAGGCCACAGGCCUGGAAGACCUUCUUAAAUUAAUAAAAUGCUAAAAAUGGAUUAUUUUAAAAAUAAAAUGCACUUUUGACCAUGAAGUUAGAAAAGUUAAGGUGGAAAAAAAAAAAUGUCCAAUUUCAGCAUGCCUAAGCCCUGCAAUAACAGAAGACAUGACCUGCCCAAACAGCUCAGCCCUGUUCUUUGCGCGAGAAGGCAUGAGAGAGAGGCUCUCCUCUAACGGCGAGAGUGGCCUGGACUGUGUCUGAGUGACAACCCGUAAGGUCUGGCGCUCUAGGCAAAGGGCCGGGACGCCAGCCCUGGGCCUGUGGGAAUGAACUGAAGGGUUGUCCCAUCAGCAACAAUCACUGCCCUGCCUCUUGGCCACAGCCUCAGCAGCCACACGUUGUCACUGAUGCCUUCCCUGCACAACCCUCCCCCGCCACCCACUCUCUCUGCACACCUGGGAUGGGCCGCCCCCCAAAGGUGAUGUUAACGUCGUAGUCUCCAGCGGUGAAAGGGAUGUACUCCACGGUACAGCUGCCAUCUUUGUUGUCCUUGCAGGACAUCUUGGCUUCUGAGGGGCCCUCGAUGGCUAGGCCAAGGCCUCCGGUGCCAGCUCCCCUGCAAGGCAACACCCUUCUCAGCUCUGCUAGGAACGGUCACAGGCAAUGCAUGGAAAUCAGCCUGCCACAGAACACUACCAGUGGCAAUGAACCCAGACCUUGCUACUUGCAGGCCAAAGAAGAGUGAUCUCAGACUGCCACGGAACACAUAAAAUGGCAUAGGACCCAAUGGGAUGCCACAAAACAGGCAAGGACGUAUAAUCCAGGCCUACCACAGGACACAGGCAAUGGCACAGAACCUGGGGCCCGUCACAGAAUGCCACAGAAGGGGGGCAAUUCCACACUGCCUGGGCCAUUCCACACAGCACAGGUGAGGCCAGUCAGCUGUGGCCAUGCUGGCCCCACCUCCCCUGGACAGUACUAACGUGGCACCACUUUCUUGGCCUGGUGGAAGAUGGGCACGGAGGGGACGUGUGACGGCAAGGGCUCUGAGCGGCAGGGAGAGAACCAAGUGGCGGGAGUCACCACCCGAGGGCCGGGGGUAUGGGUGCCCAUCACAUAUGCCCCCACAACCCUUGCAAGGUGGCACCUGUCUGUAUACUUUGCUGUGGUCUCCGGACCCUCCCUGGGAUAGUAGGUGGAGAGAUGACCAGGAUGAGAUCUCUCCAGAGCUACCCCCUGCCCCCGCCCCAUGGAUAUUCUACCUAUUUUAACGCCGGCUCCCCUCCCACCCCUGGAUUUAGUGGUUCGUUUCCCAUAAACCCUCAGCCCCGGAA